CUCCUUGUAGCUUAGUGGUAGAGUACCUACUGGUGCCUGAAACUAGGAGCCCGGGUUCGAUUCCCGGCAAGGGAG
This 75-nucleotide transfer RNA is filed under the name Agrilus planipennis (emerald ash borer). It matches the Rfam family "tRNA". From Rfam's summary of the family: Transfer RNA (tRNA) molecules are approximately 80 nucleotides in length. Lineage: Eukaryota; Metazoa; Arthropoda; Insecta; Coleoptera; Buprestidae. The record is from Rfam by way of RNAcentral.